This 64-nucleotide transfer RNA is filed under the name Basilepta melanopus. RNAcentral's name for it is "tRNA-Trp". Lineage: Eukaryota; Metazoa; Arthropoda; Insecta; Coleoptera; Chrysomelidae. The record is from RNAcentral.
AAGGAUUUAAGUUAAAUAAACUAUUAACCUUCAAAGUUAAAAAUAGAUAAAUUUCUAAGCCUUA